RNAcentral lists this long non-coding RNA (379 nucleotides) under Callithrix jacchus (white-tufted-ear marmoset). RNAcentral's name for it is "lncRNA (ENSCJAG00000079747.1)". Lineage: Eukaryota; Metazoa; Chordata; Mammalia; Primates; Cebidae. The record is from RNAcentral.
CUAGAAUACCAAGUGUUCAGUCUCAAAUCUGUAAACUCUCUUUUUUAUCUUAAACACAAAAAAUCUUCACUAGAUUUGGUGAUCUUGGGGCUAUAAACCUGAUUAUAUUUAGGUUUUUGAAUUCACAGCCCAGUAUAGGCAUGAUAUACGCAGUCACUCAGUGAUAUGAAACUCUCAGAAACAGAAGAGAAGCUAACAUUUUUCACAAGGAGCUCUCAUUUGGAAGGACAUUCCUGUGGGGAGGCAAAUGUGAAUAUGCAACAGAAGGCUUAGCUGAGCGCAUGCAAAGGAAAUCUGUGUGUAAAUCCAACUGGGAUGAGACAGACAAAGCCCAAAGUAGAGAAGAGACCUGCAGACUGCAAGAAGAGAAUAAAGCAAC